GAAAGUCGGACUAAUAACCGCAUGAAGCAGGGAUCCCGCAUGGGGAGUAUUUGCUAAAGAUUCAUCGCUGAUAGAUAGGCAUGCGUUCCAUUAGGGCAGUUGGCGGGGGUAACGGGCCCACCAAACCGACGAUGGAUAGGGGUUCUGAGAGGAAGGUCCCCCACAUUGGUACUGAGACACGGACCAAACUCCUACGGGAGGCAGCAUG
RNAcentral lists this ribosomal RNA (208 nucleotides) under uncultured bacterium. RNAcentral describes it as "partial 16S ribosomal RNA". It matches the Rfam family "Bacterial small subunit ribosomal RNA", at positions 153 to 353 of the family's 1533-position model. The record is from RNAcentral.